GCCGGGGUAGCUCAGUUGGUUAGAGCGCUGGAUUGUGGAUCCAGAGGUCCUGGGUUCGAACCCCAGCCCCGGUACCA
This 77-nucleotide transfer RNA is filed under the name Candidatus Hydrogenedentota bacterium. RNAcentral's name for it is "tRNA-His". It matches the Rfam family "tRNA". From Rfam's summary of the family: Transfer RNA (tRNA) molecules are approximately 80 nucleotides in length. Their secondary structure includes four short double-helical elements and three loops (D, anti-codon, and T loops). RNAcentral also lists the same sequence under 1 other name. The record is from RNAcentral. Lineage: Bacteria; Pseudomonadati; Candidatus Hydrogenedentota.